Molecule: long non-coding RNA, 1446 nt
Organism: Erpetoichthys calabaricus (reedfish)
Lineage: Eukaryota; Metazoa; Chordata; Cladistia; Polypteriformes; Polypteridae
Exons: 3
Source: RefSeq, a predicted model, not a curated record
GGGCUCUGCAGAUGCUUCUCUACCUGAUCGCUUUGUCGAUCAAUCAGGACACCUGGCACAUAUUAUAAUCGCGAUUUGGCACUGCAUAUGAGGGUACACAAAUUCAGGCACCAUCUGUUAUUCUGUCAAGAUUUCAGCUCAUCAAAGUUUUUAAUCUUCAUUUUAUGAUCUAACAAAAUAAAUAUGAGACAGGGUUAAGAAAAAAAAUGAUUUUAGCAACCUCUCUGGAGCAUUUCUGUGUAGGUUUCCACAACAUCCUAUUCACUAUGACAGUGUCAUGUAGAGUAGCUAAAGGCAAGAGUUAAAAUAUAGAAGCUGAACACAGAAGAAGUGGAAAGAAAAUGUUAAAUCAUCAUGGCUAGUUUUCAUAAUCUGGGAAUGUAUGGACAUGCUGUGUCAGAUAAAAGUGCAUUUGUACUGAUAAUGUUUUGCUGACUUUUGUGUGCCUCUCGUUUUUGGACUCUUUAGCUGUAAUUAAAUACCACUAAAUGGUUACUUGGAAUGAAUAGAGAGUUUCAGAAUUGCAGACAUCCUAGCAAAGAAAUAAAUGGUCACUACAUCAUUUUUAAAAGAUUUAUAUAUGUUGUGUGCAAAAUCAGCAAUUUAUGACAACUAUAAAUGUAUCAUUAGUGUUUAGAAAUUAUUCAUUUGUGGACCUGUGUCAUUAUUAGGAUACUAUUAAGCAAGCAAACUGCACCAAUAGUGGUGUAUGAUUUAUCUAACUUACUUAUAAAUGUAAAUCUCACACAUUUGCUAUUCUGUAAAUGCAGAAUAAUACAAGAAAAAUGACCAGCUAAUUAACCAAUAAGAUCAAUUAGAGAUGAAAAUGGUCGGAACAAAAGCGUACAGCUACAGUGCUCCCCUGGGACUGGGAUUGGAAAGCACCAUUCUGGACAGAACUAAAAUGAAAAAGAAAUAACCAGGUAAUAAAUACUCACUAUAGUAUCUGCUCAAUCGCAUGUCUUAGGUUGUGUUUGUAAAUAAUGACACAUGAUAUUCGUAAGCCUUUCCCCUUUGAUACAUUUUAGAUUUUGUUUCAUUAUAAUCAGAUAUAAUUAUAGACUAUCAUAAUAAAAUGUAAAGAUAUGAAGAAAGAUAAGGAAUAAGAUAAAAGAAAAGGAGGGAAUUUAUAAUAGAAGAAGCUUCUGUAUAUGGCCUCUUCUCUGUAGUCAUUUCCUGUGACAAAAAUGGUGUGGCGCUUGUCAAAAUUCUGUUUUUAAUAAAGAUGACAAAACCAUUGGUCUGUAAUAAUUUUAGAAAUUACAGCUUUUAUUUGCAUGCACUCGUUACAAAUGUGCAGUUAUCUGCAUACAAACAGGUUAAAAAUGACAAAUCUUUUAACAUUCAGGUAAUCCUCAAAGCAAAUGUAAAAACACAUAAAAAAUGUGAUGCAAUCAUAUCCUAAACUCAUUGUUCCCCAUUCUUUUCAGUUUUUGCUUGUUUGCU